CGCAUCUGUGCAUGCAGCAUAUCAAUAAGCGGAGGAAAAGAAACUAACAAGGAUUCCCCUAGUAACGGCGAGUGAAGCGGGAAGAGCUCAAAUUUGAAAUCUUAAAGGGUUUCCCUUUACGAAUUGUAGUUUAAAGAAGUGUUUUCUGUUGAGGUUUUGGUAAAAGUUCUUUGGAAUAGGACAUCAUAGAGGGUGAGAAUCCCGUAUUUGACCUUUACUUUCAACUUUGUGAUACACUUUCAAAGAGUCGGAUUGUUUGGGAAUGCAGUCCAAAAUGGGUGGUAAAUUUCAUCUAAAGCUAAAUAUUGGCGAGAGACCGAUAGCGAACAAGUACCGUGAGGGAAAGAUGAAAAGAACUUUGAAAAGAGAGUUAAACAGUACGUGAAAUUGUCAAAAGGGAAGCGUUUGACACCAGUGUUGUUUUUCUGAAAAUCGAUUAAAGAACUGUUUAUGCUAAGUUGUUUAGACUUUAUCAGCUAACUGUUUAGUUUUGAGCUUUUCUUUAAUGCACUUUUCAGUUAACAAGUCAACAUCAAUUUCUUUUGCUGUAAAAAAGCUUGAGGAAGGUGGCUUGAGAUUCGUCUUAGGUGUUUAUAGCCUCUUGCCUAUGCAGUCGGAGAGAUUGAGGUCUGCAGCGUAGAUCCUUCGGGGCUAAAUGCAUUUGUGCUAAGUUAUAGCAUUUUAUAGACAACUUGUUGACUAUGAUUUGUCUUGUAGCUUACUCGCUUAUGUUAUUUUACCUACGCUUAGGAUGUUGACAGCAGUAUAGACUGU
Molecule: ribosomal RNA, 774 nt
Filed under: uncultured Neocallimastigales
Lineage: Eukaryota; Fungi; Neocallimastigomycota; Neocallimastigomycetes; Neocallimastigales
Description: partial large subunit ribosomal RNA
Rfam family: Eukaryotic large subunit ribosomal RNA
Source: RNAcentral